CUUUUCAUUGAUUUGCUGCCAUAGUCUCUCAGGGAUCUGAGCAGUUAAACAUGAGGGAUAAAAUAAUAUUGAGCCACUGUAAAUUGAGGUGAAGUAACUUAUCUCUUCUACAUGGUCUAGACAUUG
RNAcentral lists this small nucleolar RNA (126 nucleotides) under Spermophilus dauricus (Daurian ground squirrel). RNAcentral's name for it is "Small nucleolar RNA SNORA20 (ENSSDAG00000018141.1)". It matches the Rfam family "Small nucleolar RNA SNORA20". From Rfam's summary of the family: ACA20 is a member of the H/ACA class of snoRNA that guide the sites of modification of uridines to pseudouridines. The record is from Rfam by way of RNAcentral. Lineage: Eukaryota; Metazoa; Chordata; Mammalia; Rodentia; Sciuridae.